GGAGGGUGCAAGCGUUAAUCGGAAUUACUGGGCGUAAAGCGCACGCAGGCGGUUUGGUUAAGUCAGAUGUGAAAGACCCCCGGGGCUCAACCUGGGAACUGCAUUUGAUACUGGCAAACUAGAGUAUGGGAGAGAGAAGUGGAAUUCCACAUGUAGCGGUGAAAUGCGUAGAGAUGUGGAGGAACAUCAGUGGCGAAGGCGACUUCUUGGCCCAAUACUGACGCUCAGGUGCGAAAGCGUGGGGAGCAAACAGGAUUAGAUACCCUGGUAGUCCACGCCGUAAACGAUGUCUACUAGCCGUUGGGGGGCUUGACCCCUUAGUGGCGCAGCUAACGCCUUAAGUAGACCGCCUGGGGAGUACGGCCGCAAGGUUA
This 374-nucleotide ribosomal RNA is filed under the name uncultured organism. Its description in RNAcentral is "partial 16S ribosomal RNA". It matches the Rfam family "Bacterial small subunit ribosomal RNA", at positions 527 to 896 of the family's 1533-position model. The record is from RNAcentral.